Molecule: long non-coding RNA, 291 nt
Filed under: Mytilus galloprovincialis (Mediterranean mussel)
Lineage: Eukaryota; Metazoa; Mollusca; Bivalvia; Mytilida; Mytilidae
Source: RNAcentral
UUCCCGUUUCGUGCCGAAUACAAAUAAAUUUCAUAUUUCAAGACACUAUACGUAUAUUGUUUUUAUACUGAAAUCGAUAAAAAAUAAAAAAAAUAAAAAUAUGAAACAAAUAUUAUUAAAAAAAAAGUGUUUGGAAUUUCCCCCUUGGGGUACCAUUUUGGAGUAUUUCCCUAUGAGCGUAGUCUAGGCGGUAAGCAUUGACAAUUUACGGAAUUAGAAAGGGAAAAUGAAUUUAAUUAAUAGCAUUUGAUAAACAUGGUAUAUAAAUUACCAAUUUGAAGACAUAACAGG